This 60-nucleotide transfer RNA is filed under the name Empoascanara plamka. Its description in RNAcentral is "tRNA-Arg". Lineage: Eukaryota; Metazoa; Arthropoda; Insecta; Hemiptera; Cicadellidae. The record is from RNAcentral.
AACAUAGAAGUAAAAUUUACAUUUAGUUUCGGCCUAAAAUUAGGUUUAAUGCCCAUGUUU